This is a long non-coding RNA of Helianthus annuus (common sunflower), 2458 nucleotides long. RefSeq lists it as uncharacterized. Lineage: Eukaryota; Viridiplantae; Streptophyta; Magnoliopsida; Asterales; Asteraceae. The record is from RefSeq and is a predicted model, not a curated record. The transcript has 13 exons.
GGGAAAAUCCCGUCUGCUUUUUUCCUUAAUUUUGAAGCCCCGAAUUAGUCUACCCGACCCACUAAAUCGGAUCCUAUAAUACCCUUCUUUUUUCUCAUUCCGCUUCUCACUGUUCAUAUUGUUUAUCUGAAACCCUAACUACACUCCCUUUCUCUGAAACCCUAACUACAGCCGCCUUCAACAAUCUUCGUAUCAUCAUCAUCAUCAUCAUCAUCAUCGUUCAAUCCCAGAUUUUCAUCAUCCUUUUUUAAACCCUAUCUGUCAACACCGUCUUUUUUCAUCUUCUUGUGAGGUUUUUUCUACACAGAUCUAAAACGCAGGUUUAAUUCGAUCCAAGGCAGCACAAUGGAGUGGUAUCUUCGAUUAGGGUUAUUAGUGGCCGGAAUUAGGUUAAGGAUGCGACUUUUGGCCAGAAUCCUCUUCAGCAUCAAGUCAAUAUAGUUAUGCUAUUGUUAAGGAAAAUAUGGUAUCCACUCAAUCACCAGAUGCCAAAAUCAUCAAAGAAGGGCAGGCUGUAAUUAGGGCUCGACUGGGUUUAUUCCGCUUAAGAACACGGAUAAGAACAACGUCAACGGCUUCACCUGGUACCGCUGGAGUAUAGGUUUGCUAAGAUGCCUCUUACACCGUCCCCAUCUGGUAUAUUGUUAAUUUUGAUAACUUGGUUUUAUAAUUUAUAUUUUCAAUUUGUUUGAGUUAAUUGAUUAUUUUUAAAGUAUAUACGGGUUUACAUCAGUGUCCUCAUGAUCGAUCAUUCACUAUGGAGAAAUUUUGAAGAGCUAUGAAAUUAAAGGCUCAAGACAUAAAGUCUGAGCCUGUGUACGCUCGAGGCAAGCUAAGCGUACAUCCAUUCCAGGCUUUUUUAGUUGUUUUAGACUAGAUUUUGGCUGGUUAAAUUGUUUAGAGUAGUUUACGCAGGUUAGGUUGGUUCAAACUUCUUAUGAUUGAGUUUAUUCCUUAAUCGGGCCAUUGCAAUUGAGUAAUAUAUAUGCUCAGUACCAAUUGAAGUUGGGCCCAUGUGCGUACAAGUUCCAGUUUUUUGCAAUUACUUAAUAAGUGAAUUAGUCCAACAGGUUAAUGAUUAACACCAAUAUGCUCAUCUUGAACCUGCAAAUACAAAUGUUCUUUUGUUAGACGAAGUGACAGUUGACCUCGAUGUAGUUGCAAGGAUGGAUUUACUCGAGUUCUUCAAGGAGGAAUGUGAUUAUGUGAGCAGCCAAGAAAGGUUUGGUAGUACUUUUAUUUAUUAAUAUUGUUGCUCAAGGGCUAAAGACGUCAUUAAAAUGGUCACAAGACUGGGAUACAACAAGUUUCCAAUGAAGAAUUUAAUAAUCAGGUGAAGAUGUUAAUGUGUGUAUAACAUCCGCAUUUGGUGGUCAUGCUUGGAUUCUACAUAGAGCUAAACUGCAGCGUUUUUGAGUAUAUUCAUCAAAUCUCCUGUAAAUUCUAUGAACUGAGAAGGCGGAACCGAGUAGGAAUUGGGUGAUAAGAGUUCAAGAGGUUUGGAUGAUCUGAUUCCUAGAUUUUGAAGUAGUAUUUCUGUGUCCAGUAGCAGGUUUAUAAUCACAUUGGGGUUCUUCAUGCACACCAUGUGUUUGGUAAUUUGCUUAACUGAAUAUCAAAUCACAUAUUAAAAGGAACUAGAUGUUCCUUCAACAACCGGGAAUGCUUCAGAAACGAAAACCGUGGAAGUGAGUAAUGUCUCAAUUACGGUCACUGAGAAGGAUAUCCGGGAAUUCUUCUCAUUUUCGGGAAAUAUCAAUUAUAUUGAAAUGAAAAGUGAAAGUGAAACCACCCAACGCGCGUUUGUCACCUUCAAGGAAUCAAAGGGAGCACAUACAAUACUUCUUUUGACAACAAAUACAGAUGGGAAAUAUGAAGUUGCACAACAGGCAGAAGAAGUGGUAAGCACGAUGCUUGCAAAGGGUUCCGUUCUGGGAAAAGACGCGCUGCAAAAGGCGAAGUCAUUUGACGAGAAACACCAGUUGACAUCGAACGCGUCUGCGACCACUGUUUCCAUUGACCAAAAGAUGGGUUUGACUCAGAAGUUAAGUACGGGGACAGCUGUCGUUUAUGAAAAGAUGAAAGAAGUGGACGAACGUUACCAAGUAUCCGAAGCAACAAAAUUCGUCGUUGCUAAAGCUGAGCAGAAGGCGAGCGAUGCUGGUUGAUAAAAGUAUAAAAUUGACUCGACGUCCUUUUUUAGAACAGGUUCUUCUGCCAAUAUACAUGGACAAGAUUUUCAAUCAAAUUGUUGCAAUCGUGCUUUCUGUAAGUUUGGUAAUUUUUGGAGAGGUGAUUCCACAAGCAGUAUGUACCAGAUAUGGACUUGCAUCUAAUGGUGUGAUGCUGUGAAGUGGGACAUGAGGAUACCCUUUUGUGGUGACUUGGAGAUGAACAAUGAAGUUUCUGAGACUUCACUUGCCCAUUUGACCGGUUUCAUAUUUUGUUUAUUUAGAGA